RNAcentral lists this ribosomal RNA (439 nucleotides) under uncultured bacterium. RNAcentral's name for it is "partial 16S ribosomal RNA". It matches the Rfam family "Bacterial small subunit ribosomal RNA", at positions 339 to 795 of the family's 1533-position model. The record is from RNAcentral.
CUACGGGCCGCUGCAGUGGGGAAUAUUGGACAAUGGGCGAAAGCCUGAUCCAGCCAUGCCGCGUGAGUGAUGAAGGCCCUAGGGUUGUAAAGCUCUUUCGCCAGGGACGAUAAUGACGGUACCUGGAUAAGAAGCCCCGGCUAACUUCGUGCCAGCAGCCGCGGUAAUACGAAGGGGGCUAGCGUUGUUCGGAAUCACUGGGCGUAAAGCGCACGUAGGCGGAUCUUUAAGUCAGGGGUGAAAUCCCGAGGCUCAACCUCGGAACUGCCUUUGAUACUGGAGGUCUCGAGUCCGGGAGAGGUGAGUGGAACUGCGAGUGUAGAGGUGAAAUUCGUAGAUAUUCGCAAGAACACUAGUGGCGAAGGCGGCUCACUGGCCCGGUACUGACGCUGAGGUGCGAAAGCGUGGGGAGCAAACAGGAUUAGAUACCCGUGUAGUC